CAUCUUUUGCAGUCCAGGCUAUCAAGUGGCUGCUUUUCCCAUAUAACUCUACAUGUGGAGUAGCAGUCCUCAGCUGUGACUUGGUGUGACCAAAAGCAAGAAAUACAUUGUUGGAUACCUCUUCCCCAUAAUUUUACCUGCAAAUUGAAGAUCAUAUAAUGCAAAGGAAUUCUGAAGAACACUGAAGGUUUUCAUCUGACACUCCAGUUUUAGGGGCAGGUUGUUUCAUUGAUCUUAAAGAUCUUUCUUCUGUGUAAAUAGUAAAUACAUCGCUUGUUGCAAAUUAUUUUUUCCUUUGUAUCAAUAAAUAUUAAGUAAUGCAAA
Long non-coding RNA from Pipra filicauda (Wire-tailed manakin), 324 nucleotides. RefSeq lists it as uncharacterized. The record is from RefSeq and is a predicted model, not a curated record. The transcript is spliced from 2 exons. Lineage: Eukaryota; Metazoa; Chordata; Aves; Passeriformes; Pipridae.